RNAcentral lists this ribosomal RNA (543 nucleotides) under uncultured Alphaproteobacteria bacterium. RNAcentral's name for it is "bacterial SSU rRNA". It matches the Rfam family "Bacterial small subunit ribosomal RNA", at positions 30 to 603 of the family's 1533-position model. The record is from RNAcentral. Lineage: Bacteria; Pseudomonadati; Pseudomonadota; Alphaproteobacteria.
CGAACGCUGGCGGCAGGCCUACACAUACAAGUCGAAGGAGAAGUUUCUCUUCGUAGAGAUGGACACUGGCGCACGGGUGAGUAACGCGUGGGGAUCUACCCCGGGGUGGGGGACAACCGCUGGAAACGGCGGCUAAUACCGCAUACGCCUUAAGAGGGAAAGCUUUAGCGCCCUGGGAUGAACCCGCGUUAGAUUAGGUAGUUGGUGGGGUAAUGGCCUACCAAGCCGACGAUCUAUAGCUGGUCUGAGAGGAUGAUCAGCCACACUGGGACUGAGACACGGCCCAGACUCCUACGGGAGGCAGCAGUGGGGAAUAUUGGACAAUGGGGGCAACCCUGAUCCAGCCAUGCCGCGUGCGUGAAGAAGGCCUUAGGGUUGUAAAGCGCUUUCACUGGUGAAGAUGAUGACGAGUAGCCAGAGAAGAAGCCCCGGCUAACUCCGUGCCAGACAGCACGCAGGUAAUACGGAGGGGGCAAGCAGUUGUUCGGAAUUACUGGGCGUAAAGGGCGCGUAGCCGGAAUAUCAAGUUAGAGGGUGAACGGC